Molecule: unclassified non-coding RNA, 657 nt
Filed under: Hevea brasiliensis (rubber tree)
Lineage: Eukaryota; Viridiplantae; Streptophyta; Magnoliopsida; Malpighiales; Euphorbiaceae
Source: RNAcentral
ACUACAGCAUGGUUUUCUAUUUUGUCAUGAAAGAGUUAACAUCUGGUUCUCUUUUGCAACGGUUUGUUGAUGGGGAUGACGAGUUCCGUAAUAGUAGAAUGAAGCUCAUCCCGUCUGUGCCAAAGGGCUCAUGGAUUGUGCGUCAGAGUGUCGGAAGUACUCCUUGUUUACUGGGGAAGGCAGUUGACUGCACCUAUAUCCGCGGUCCCAAGUAUUUGGAAAUUGAUGUUGAUAUUGGUUCUUCCACUGUCGCGAAUGGAGUUUUGGGGCUUGUGAUUGGUGUAAUUACGAGCCUAGUAGUUGACAUGGCUUUUCUUGUACAGGGAAACUCUCCCGAUGAGUUGCCUGAGCAACUAAUAGGCGCUGUACGUGCAUCUCAUAUAGAACUCUCAGCUGCUGUUGUACCAAAAUUGGAGCCUGAUACUACAGAGUAGGUCAAACCACACACAUAGUUCACCUUCUUCAGAAGUUGAUUCUUGAAACAUACGUAUACAUAGAUGUAGUUCCUUUCUAUUUUCGUUCAUCGUGUUCUUAAAAUUUGUUUCAGCUCAGAAUGGAACUAAGUCUGUUUAUAGACGUCGACUUCAUUAAAUUCUUUUUUUUUUCUGUUCUCUUUCGAUUAUCAGUAAGAGCAAUGAACUAUUGCCUUAUUUCCAG